Molecule: ribosomal RNA, 340 nt
Filed under: Pachylus chilensis
Lineage: Eukaryota; Metazoa; Arthropoda; Arachnida; Opiliones; Gonyleptidae
Description: partial large subunit ribosomal RNA
Rfam family: Bacterial large subunit ribosomal RNA (bases 104-340)
Source: RNAcentral
UUUUUUAAUUGGAAACUUGAAUGAAAGGUAUUUACUAAAGGGGAGGUUUUAUUUAAUUAAUUUGAAUUUAAAUUAAAAUUAAAAAUGGUUUUAUAAAUUUUUGGGACAAGAAGACCCUAGAAGCUUGAAUUAAAAAGAAUUUUAGUUGGGGUAACAUUUGAAGAAAAAGAUUUUUGAAAAUGUAUUAAGGAUAAUUAAUAAGUUACUCUAGGGAUAACAGCGUCAUCUAAUUAACGAGUUCUUAUCAAUAAUUAGGUUUGCGACCUCGAUGUUGAAUUAAAUUUUAUUUUUGGUGAAGAAAUCAAAAAAGGUAGUCUGUUCGACUAUUAAAAAUUUACGU